This 1325-nucleotide small RNA is filed under the name Arabidopsis thaliana (thale cress). Its description in RNAcentral is "ATSL274800". The record is from RNAcentral. Lineage: Eukaryota; Viridiplantae; Streptophyta; Magnoliopsida; Brassicales; Brassicaceae.
AAUGCUUCAACAAGUAAUUUUGGGUCCGUAAUAUAGCCCAAAUCACAAAUAUGCCCGAAAAAGUACUUAAAGGUCAAAAUUUGGGAUCGACAAAAAGUCAAUGAAAUUGUUCCGUUGUCUUGCUUCUUUUGUCGGAAGGCUCUCUUUACGCUUUCCGAAAAGGUAUCACAUGCCAAGUUUGACCUCACGGUAUAAAAGUUAUAGAGUCAUAAAGUUUUAACCAAAAAAAACAAAUUAAAAAAAAAAGAAGGAUGCAACACGAGGACUUCCCGGGAGGUCACCCAUCCUAAUACUACUCUCGCCCAAGCACGCUUAACUAAAGGUCAAAAUUUGGAGUCGACAAAAAAUCAAUGGAUAAGUUCCAUUGUCCUGCUUCUUUCAUCGGAGGGCUCUCUUUGGGCUUUCCGAAAAGGUAUCAGAUGCCAAGUUUGGCCUGACGGUAUAAAAGUUAUAGAGUCAUAAAUUUUUAACAAAAAAAAAACAAAUUAAUAAAAAAGAGGGAUGCAACACGAGGACUUCCCGGGAGGUCACCCAUCCUAGUACUACUCUAGCCCAAGCACGCUUAACUAAAGGUCAAAAUUUGGAGUCGACAAAAACUCAAUACAUAUGUUCCAUUGUCCUGCUUCUUUCAUCCGAGGGCUCUCUUUGGGCUUUCCGAAAAAGGUAUCACAUGCCAAGUUUGGCCUCACUGUAUAAAAGUUAUAGAGUCAUAAAGUUUUAACCAAAGAAAAAAAUUAAAAAAAAAAGAGGGAUGCAAGACAAGGACUUCCCGGGAGGUCACCCAUCUUAGUACUACUCUCGCCCAAGCACGCUUAACUACGGUGUUCUGAUGGGAUCCGGUGUAUUAGUGCUGGUAUGAUCACAUCCGUUAGUAUAUGCAAUGCAAUCGUAUAUAUUCUUUUUGGAAGAAUUGAUGAACCAUUCGCCAUGGGCCCCAUCCGCUAUGUAGGGAUACCCCAUCUAGUCUUAACGAGCUUUGAUGCAUGAAAAAAUUCUAAAACAAUGCUUGAACAAGUAAUUUUUGGUCCGUAAUAUAGCCCAAAUCACAAAAAUACGCGAAAAGUACUUAAAGGUCAAAAUUUAGGGUCGACAAAAAGUCAAUGGAAAAGUUUGUUUGUCCUGCUUCUUUCGUCGGAGGGCUCUCUUUGGGCUUUCCGAAAAGGUAUCACAUGCCAAGUUUGGCCUCACGGUAUAAAAGUUAUAGAAUCAUAAAGUUUUAACCAAAAAAAACAAAUUAAAAAAAAACAGGGAUGCAACACGAGGAGUUCCCAGGAGGUCACCCAUCCUAGUACUACUCUCGCCCAAGCAUGCUUAACAAAAGGUUA